Molecule: ribosomal RNA, 253 nt
Filed under: uncultured bacterium
Lineage: Bacteria
Description: partial 16S ribosomal RNA
Rfam family: Bacterial small subunit ribosomal RNA
Source: RNAcentral
GACAGAGGGUGCAAGCGUUGUUCGGAAUUAUUGGGCGUAAAGCGCACGUAGGCGGUUUUGUAAGUCGGACGUGAAAGCCCAGGGCUUAACCCUGGAAGCGCAUCCGAUACUGCACGACUUGAGUCCCGGAGAGGGUGGUGGAAUUCCUGGUGUAGAGGUGAAAUUCGUAGAUAUCAGGAGGAACACCGGUGGCGAAGGCGACCACCUGGACGGAGACUGACGCUGAGGUGCGAAAGCGUGGGGAGCAAACAGG